UCCGGUUUGUCACCGGCAGUCUCCCUAGAGUUCCCGGCCGAACCGCUGGCAACUAGGGACAAGGGUUGCGCUCGUUACGGGACUUAACCCAACAUCUCACGACACGAGCUGACGACAGCCAUGCAGCACCUGUCACUCGGUUCCCGAAGGCACUCCCGCAUCUCUGCGGGAUUCCGAGGAUGUCAAGACCAGGUAAGGUGGGGAUGACGUAGGAGGAAUUCCA
RNAcentral lists this unclassified non-coding RNA (223 nucleotides) under uncultured Gammaproteobacteria bacterium. RNAcentral's name for it is "contains 16S-23S intergenic spacer region". The record is from RNAcentral. Lineage: Bacteria; Pseudomonadati; Pseudomonadota; Gammaproteobacteria.